UACGGAGGGUGCGAGCGUUAUUCGGAAUAACUGGGCGUAAAGGGCACGCAGGCGGACUUUUAAGUGAGAUGUGAAAUCCCCGGGCUUAACCUGGGAAUAGCAUUUCAGACUGGGAGUCUAGAGUACUUAAGGGGGGGGUGGAAUUCCACGUGUAGCGGUGAAAUGCGUAGAUAUGUGGAGGAACACCGAUGGCGAAGGCAGCCCCCUGGGAAUGUACUGACGCUCAUGUGCGAAAGCGUGGGGAGCAAACAGG
RNAcentral lists this ribosomal RNA (253 nucleotides) under uncultured bacterium. RNAcentral's name for it is "partial 16S ribosomal RNA". It matches the Rfam family "Bacterial small subunit ribosomal RNA", at positions 524 to 776 of the family's 1533-position model. The record is from RNAcentral.